GGGCUACAUGGAAAACUGGUUCAGGGUAGGGCUACAUAGAAAACUGGUUCAGGGUAGGGCUACAUGGAAAACUGGUUCAGGGUAGGGCUACAUAGAAAACUGGUUCAACGUAGGGCUACAUAGAACUGGUUCAACAUAGGGCUACAUAGAAAACUGGUUCAGGGUAGGCUACAUAGAAAACUGGUUCAGGGUAGGGCUACAUAGAAAACUGGUUCAGGGUAGGGCUACAUAGAAAACUGGUUCAGGGUAGGGCUACAUAGAAAACUGGUUCAGGGUAGGGCUACAUAGAAAACUGGUUCAGGGUAGGGCUACAUAGAAAACUGGUUCAGGGUAGG
Molecule: long non-coding RNA, 335 nt
Organism: Haliotis rubra (blacklip abalone)
Lineage: Eukaryota; Metazoa; Mollusca; Gastropoda; Lepetellida; Haliotidae
Exons: 4
Source: RefSeq, a predicted model, not a curated record